Mauremys mutica (yellowpond turtle) is the source of this 224-nucleotide long non-coding RNA. RefSeq lists it as uncharacterized. The record is from RefSeq and is a predicted model, not a curated record. Lineage: Eukaryota; Metazoa; Chordata; Testudines; Geoemydidae. The transcript is spliced from 3 exons.
AUCAACGUGGACACUGAAAAGAAGAAAGAGGAUCAGAAAGCAAGUCUCUCUGAAAAAGGAACAAAGUGUUGUGGAGCUUUCAGUCUAUCACCCCACAUGAUAAAUAUUCCCAAGUUGUUGUGCCGCAAAGCAUGCACACAAAGAGUUUCAAGACCUGCAUACUCACAGCAAAACAGUAGCCACAGAAGACUGUAGUUAUUUUACAGCGUAUUUUACAAGUAAGC